CGUGCACAGAUGUGCGCCGUCUUUAGGAUAUAUUUUGCAUAUUUCCGCAUCACUGCUCGUCACAGUUUAUCUUCAUAUUUGGUACAAAAUGUGAAGUGUUUUCAUGCACUCACACCUAAAGCUGCCUCAGGAUGAUGUCACCAACAGUUCUGAUGGUCAUGUUGGUUUUCAUGACUCAAGGAUCUUCUGCCAACAAUUUUCUGACUCAGUCAGAUAAAGUCAAGUCUGUCAGUCUUGGAGGGACUGUGACCAUCAGCGCCACAGGAAGCUCCAACAUUGGGGCUGAUCUCAGUUGGUACCUUCAGAAACCUGGACAGGCUCCCAAACUUCUUAUAUACAAAGCAUCAACUCUGUUCUCAGGAACUCCAUCUCGAUUCAGUGGCACUCGCUCUGGUUCUCAGUACUCUCUGACUAUCACUGGUGUUCAGCAGGAAGAUGUUGGAGAUUACUACUGUCUCGGCUACCAUGGUAGUGGAGUGUUCACACAGCGAUUUAGAGCCGUACAAAAACCUCCCUCAGUUUGAGGACUUUAAAAACAGCCUGCUGCAGCUGCUGUGGUUUGAACAGGAAACUGUGACGAGGACGACGAGUCCAGUGAACGCAGCACCGCAGUGAACGUGUGUCAUGAACCAGAAC
Molecule: non-coding RNA, 636 nt
Organism: Thalassophryne amazonica
Lineage: Eukaryota; Metazoa; Chordata; Actinopteri; Batrachoidiformes; Batrachoididae
Source: the annotation of a RefSeq genome assembly